RNAcentral lists this ribosomal RNA (253 nucleotides) under uncultured bacterium. RNAcentral's name for it is "partial 16S ribosomal RNA". It matches the Rfam family "Bacterial small subunit ribosomal RNA", at positions 524 to 776 of the family's 1533-position model. The record is from RNAcentral.
UACGUAGGGGGCAAGCGUUAUCCGGAAUUACUGGGUGUAAAGGGAGCGUAGACGGCAAUGCAAGUCCGGAGUGGAAUGCGGCAGCUCAACUGCCGAACUGCUCUGGAAACUGUAUGGCUUGAGUGCAGGAGGGGUAAGCGGAAUUCCUGGUGUAGCGGUGAAAUGCGUAGAUAUCAGGAGGAAUACCGGUGGCGAAGGCGGCUUACUGGACUGUAACUGACGUUGAGGCUCGAAAGCGUGGGGAGCAAACAGG